RNAcentral lists this long non-coding RNA (1212 nucleotides) under Cyanistes caeruleus (blue tit). RNAcentral describes it as "lncRNA (ENSCCEG00000004616.1)". The record is from RNAcentral. Lineage: Eukaryota; Metazoa; Chordata; Aves; Passeriformes; Paridae.
UUUUGUUUGUUUGUUUGGAGUGUUGUUUCUUUGUUUUGGUUUGGGGGUUUUGUUGUUUGUUUGGUGGGUUUUUUUGGUUUUGUUUUUUUUGGGGGGGUUGGGGUUUUUUUUUUGGUUUUUUGUGUUUGUUUUUAUUUGGAAGGCAACAAACCUGAAAUUUAUGGGAUCAGCCAGGGAAUGUGUAAUGAGAAAAAGGCUUUGCUGAAAAUUCCUGCAGAAACCUGCUGUCACCGACUCUUUUGGUUGUCCAUGGCAAUCAGGCUCUUUUGGGAAUGGGGUGUUUGAGCCCUGAUGGCUCAUUAUCACAACGAUGAAGGUUCUGGGCCUGGCUUGAACCCAGAUCCCGUUUCCCAGAGCUGUUUUUCUCCCAUAACUCUGGUUAUUUUGCAGACAGCAUGAACAGAAAGGCCUUUCGGGACGGAAUAAAGCCAGGCUGGCACUACUUCGGCAGGAAGAUGGUGAGUGAGGAAGGGCUUGGGCUUUUCCAGCUACAGACGACCUGGUCAGUGGAGAAACAGAGCUGGGUUUUUUGCUACUGAUGCACUUUUGCAAAGUCCACAUGACUCAAUUUUUUCUCCCUAAAGUAGAGGGGAAAAUACCAGCCCUGCGGGGCUGUGGAUGCUCUGAACAUCUCUCCUGGGGUUUUGAAGUGCUCGGGAGCCCUUGGGUGGAAAAUGGGAAGAGAAACCUUUACAAGCUGUGGGUUUGGGGGCAGUGAAGUGCCUGGUGCUGCUCCUGCAGGACGUGGCCGAUUUCGAGUGGGUGAUGUGGUUCACCUCGUUCAGGAACAUCAUCAUCUUCGCCCUCUCUGGACACGUCCUCUUCGGCAAGAUCUGCUCCAUGACUGUGCCACAGCACCGGGCUGUGAUGUACAUGAUCUACGGGGUCCUGGCUGUGCUGGGCAGCAUGGGGCUGGUCUACCUGAUGAUCAUCCUCUCCCACUGCCUGGUCCUCUACUCGGUGGCCCUGGCCAAGCAGAAGUGGCUUUGCUACGUGGCCGGGCUCUGCUGCCUUGCCUCCUUCAAGGUGGAACCCUUUGGCUCGUGGCAGGUGGGUGCUGUCCUGGCCACGUGUCUGCCUUGUUUCCAGGCCACUGGUGUCCCUCUCCUCGGGGUUAUCCCCAGGGAGGGCUCCUGGGGCAGCCCCAGGCCCUGGCCAUUUCUCCUGGCUGCAUCAGAGCUCUCACAGCAUUUUAGAGCGAAGGGACUGUCG